This is a non-coding RNA of Schizosaccharomyces pombe (fission yeast), 1222 nucleotides long. The record is from the annotation of a GenBank genome assembly. NCBI's taxonomy places the organism in Eukaryota, Fungi, Ascomycota, Schizosaccharomycetes, Schizosaccharomycetales, Schizosaccharomycetaceae.
UAUAAACAUAUAGAACGAUCACUACUUUCCGAAACGAUGUAUUGAUUCAAAGGAUCCCAACAUACCCCUUGAACGUAAUGUGAAUGGUCGAAUUUUUGAGUAAGCAGUUGCCCUUCUUAGUCAGUAAUUUUAAUUUAAAAAAAAAUAUUGCCAAUAACAACAACUGCCAAUUCAUACCUGUGUGAGCAUCGUACAACCGAAGACUAUUAUCCAUGGCGCCGGCAAUAAGAAAAUUACUGUCAACCGACCAGCAUAAAUCAUAUAUUUCUGAACCCAUCGACCUACAAACUAUUUUGACCUUCCAAUAUUCUUUAGCUAGAGCCAACUCUUCCGCAUCAUCAGCCAAAGUUGUUAUAGGAGUGUUAGUUGGAACCCAUAACAUAAUAGUUCCUUCAUCUCCGGCGGUAGCAAGAAUAUUUCCUAUUUUAAUGUGAGCAUUGGAAAAAAUUAUUAGCGAAUACCUUCUGGAUUGAAACGAACGACGUUCACUGCUUGCGUGUGUCGACUUAACGUAGACAAAUAUUCGACUUUUGUGGAUGAUUCCGAAGUGAUCAAUUGCCAUAUCUGGAUAUUAGUAUAAUUGAAGGAAUUUUCUUUCUUUUUUUUAAACUACAACAAACAAUAGUUGAAGCAAAAAUAGUUUUAUGUCAAAUCAUUACCCUGAUUUUACUGUCUCCUCCACAUGUAGCAAAUUUAUUAAGACUGUUCUUUUGAAAAUCAACUGAAUAAAUAGGUGUGUGAUCAUCAUUAGCAUCAUAAUGCCAUCGUAUCUGCAAAACCUCCGCUCUCAUGUUCCUCUUCGUCGUUAGUGCUCUAGGAUCGCUUCGCACAAUUUUUCUAAUAGUAAUUUCGUGAGUACGGAACUAACGUGUAUAUUAUUUAGAGUUCAAAGAGAAUUUUUUAUGAACUCUCUAAUAUUGUUGUUAUUUCUAUUAUUUGUCAAUUUGCUUUGGGUUCAAUGUUCAAGCAGCAUUAGUAGUUGGAGGAAAAAUUUUGAAUUAUAUGCUGAGUGCCCGUUAUACUCUAUUUUUUUUUAUCUAUUUAAAGCCCUUUAGUUUGCACAAUAGUCUUCUUAUUAGCCGUGCGAUUACUAUGUUUAGUGUUAGGUAAGUUUAUAAGGUUCGAUUUCUUAUAAAUAUUAUGGACUUUCACAGUUGAAAUUGCAUCCUUUCCCCUUGGUUUAAAAACAGAGUAUUUCAUAUAAUAGAGUACAAAAUUUGAG